RNAcentral lists this ribosomal RNA (609 nucleotides) under Triticum aestivum (bread wheat). Its description in RNAcentral is "partial small subunit ribosomal RNA". Lineage: Eukaryota; Viridiplantae; Streptophyta; Magnoliopsida; Poales; Poaceae. The record is from RNAcentral.
AUGCAUCGUGUGCGAGUUGUGCAUGCCUCACCUUCGUCUGCGGCGGAGAGAGGAUGGGUUGGCAAAAUAUCUCGCGAGCCCUGGUCGCCUCCAGUUUCCCUUCCCUCUCUCCAAUCUCUCUUGAUCUACUACCGCCGCCGCCGCCUCCUCUCGGUUUCUGAUGCUGCCACUCCGACGAAGAUCACCGCGCCGCUAGUUCUUAGAUCCCGGGAGAAGGGGAACAGCAGCCGCGCCAGGCGGCAUGCCUCGUCCGAGCCGCAUGGUGGCCAACACAUCGACGGUUUCAAGGCCGGUCCUGGGCGGCGCCUCGUCAGCGUCGUGGAUGGAUCGGGCAGCGCCUUGGCAUUCCAGAGGGGCGAAGUGGGCCGGCCAGCAUACGUGGGGCGCAAAGGUCACGAGCAGGAGGGAGAUGCGCUGGAGGUGAUGGAGAAGGAAGUCGGAGGCGGCAUCAGCGUCCAUGGCGACGCCACCCCAGGAACCCUCCUGCACACCUCGGCAUGGCUCGUCCGUGCCACAUGGUGGCCGAGAUGCUGGAGUGGAUCAAGAGCGGACCGUAGCAGCAGGAGCAAGGAUCUGGUGGUGGUUCAUGAUAUUGGACUGCAUUACUAA